RNAcentral lists this ribosomal RNA (1054 nucleotides) under Protosuberites denhartogi. RNAcentral describes it as "eukaryotic LSU rRNA". It matches the Rfam family "Eukaryotic large subunit ribosomal RNA", at positions 68 to 946 of the family's 3401-position model. Lineage: Eukaryota; Metazoa; Porifera; Demospongiae; Suberitida; Suberitidae. The record is from RNAcentral.
UACAGGAUUCCCUCAGUAACGGCGCAGCGAAGUGGGAAGAGCUCGAGCCUGAAAUCCCUGGCAGAUACUGUCAGGGAGUUGUGGCCGGGAGAGGCAACUAGGCCCUGGUCGGUGCUGUCAAAGUUGACCUGGAAAGGCGCGUCACAGAGGGUGAGAGCCCCGUACGUGGCACCGNCGGCNNGGGCCUUUAUUGCCUUCGGAGAGUCGGGUUGUUUGGGAAUGCAGCCCAAAGUGGGUGGUAAACUCCAUCUAAAGCUAAAUACUGGCACGAGACCGAUAGCAAACAAGUACCGUGAGGGAAAGGUGAAAAGUACUUUGAAAAGAGAGUCAAAAAGACCGCGAAACCGUUAGGAGGGAAACGAAUGCAGCUGAAUGGGCUUUGCUCGAGCUCAGGAGCGAUGUCGGUGGGCGAUGCCGGUCUGCGAGAGCCGCAAGGCUUUGCUCUCCGGAUAGCUGCCGACUCCUCUGCACUCUCGAGCUUCGCCUGCCAACGACGGUUGUCGGUGGUUGAGAAGGGCGCUUGGGUAGGUUCUCACCCCUCGGGGUGAUGCUUAUAGCCAUCCGUCUGGAAGUCCGCCGGCGACCGAGGAUAACUUGCAGNGCAGGCCUUCGGGCUUGGGCCGUUUCUGGCCGUUUGGGCGCCGCGGAUCGGACUGCAUGCAGUGCGCGCCGACGGACGUCUGCUCGGGNGGGAGACCGGUCACAUCUGCGCUGUGGUUGUUGGUUAUCAAAUGGCUGCAUCCGACCCGUCUUGAAACACGGACCAAGGAGUGCAACAUGCACGCGAGUCUUUGGGUGGCAAACCCAAUGGCGCAAUGAAAGUGAAGGCAGGCUCGGUCUGCUUAGGCGAGAGUCCUCUCCGGGGGACGCAUCGUCGACCGAUCCCAGGUCACGCUGUGGCGGGAUUUGAGUGAGAGCGUACCUGUUGCCACCCGAAAAAUGGUGAACUAUGCCUGAAUAAGGUGAAGCCAAAGAAACUCUGGUGGAACUCGUAACGAUUCUGACUGCAAUCGAUCGUCAAUUUGGGUAUAGGGCCAAAAAUAUCCACCCUCUA